GAGUUGCAUGUGAAUCGGAUCCAUAUCGCCCACCAUGUUGAUUCUAUAUUCAGCAUUAAGAUGACCCAUCGUGCUGGUUGCCUGGGAAUCCAGUUAGCCUCUGCAUUGUUCUUGGUGAAUUCUGCGCCAAAUAUUUGCCCAAGGAUCAUCUCCUGGCAGUACUGCCCGUCUUGUCCAUGUGCCAGCUAUCUUUAUGCACUGUGAGAAAGAAAGAAUUUGGAGCGUGCAACACCUACAGCGGUGGAAAAUACCCUCGAGAAUCGCCUGCCAUCAAUCAAAAGGACACCUUCCAGCUCUGCACCAGAGCAGCUGCGUUUCGAGGAGAUGUGAUACCUCUAUAAUUUGUCGCUUAUCUUGCGCCCACACAUUAUUUUUUAAACCAGUACAAAUAAUGCGCACAGGGAAGGACACAAAAAAAA
Molecule: long non-coding RNA, 419 nt
Organism: Dalotia coriaria
Lineage: Eukaryota; Metazoa; Arthropoda; Insecta; Coleoptera; Staphylinidae
Exons: 4
Source: RefSeq, a predicted model, not a curated record